UUAAACUUUAAUAAACCAUGGGAAGUGAAAUCCAAAGUAUAAAAGCUUAAACCAUUGAAAUUCAUGGAAAAAUUGUAUUAUGUUGUUGUUAAUGGACAAGUUUAACACCAUCAUUUAUAGGUUUAGAUUAUACAUGUUGUGACAAUGGAAUGAAUCUAUUUGGAACGGUGUAAAAAUCUCAAGUAACGAAGUUAUGGCGGAAUUUAC
Molecule: long non-coding RNA, 207 nt
Filed under: Panax ginseng (ginseng)
Lineage: Eukaryota; Viridiplantae; Streptophyta; Magnoliopsida; Apiales; Araliaceae
Description: long non-coding RNA (PGIN_LNC010656)
Source: RNAcentral